Molecule: ribosomal RNA, 440 nt
Filed under: uncultured Thermoleophilia bacterium
Lineage: Bacteria; Bacillati; Actinomycetota; Thermoleophilia
Description: partial 16S ribosomal RNA
Rfam family: Bacterial small subunit ribosomal RNA
Source: RNAcentral
CCUACGGGCGGCAGCAGUAAGGAAUCUUGCGCAAUGGGCGAAAGCCUGACGCAGCGACGCCGCGUGGGCGAUGAAGGCCUUCGGGUUGUAAAGCCCUUUUCUGGGGGACGAGGAAGGACGGUACCCCAGGAGUAAGUCACGGCUAACUACGUGCCAGCAGCCGCGGUAAUACGUAGGGGGCGAGCGUUGUCCGGAUUUAUUGGGCGUAAAGAGCGUGUAGGCGGCCUGUCAAGUCCGGUGUGAAAUGUCACGGCUUAACCAUGACCCUGCACUGGAAACUGUCAGGCUAGAGUCUGGAUGAGGAGAGUGGAAUUCCUGGUGUAGCGGUGAAAUGCGCAGAUAUCAGGAGGAACACCGGUGGCGAGGGCGGCUCUCUGGGAAAGUACUGACGCUGAGACGCGAAAGCGUGGGGAGCAAACAGGAUUAGAUACCCCUGUAGU